Long non-coding RNA from Labeo rohita (rohu), 352 nucleotides. RefSeq lists it as uncharacterized. The record is from RefSeq and is a predicted model, not a curated record. NCBI's taxonomy places the organism in Eukaryota, Metazoa, Chordata, Actinopteri, Cypriniformes, Cyprinidae. The transcript is spliced from 3 exons.
UUAACUGAUGGACUGGAGUGGUGUGGAUUACUUGUGGAUUAUUGUGAUGUUUUUAUCAAUUGUUUGGACUCUUAUUCUGACGGCACCCAUUCACUACAGAGGAUCCAUUAGUGAGCAAGUGAUGGAAUGACACAUUUCUACAAAUCUGAUGAAGAAACAAACUCAUCUACAUCUUGGAUGGCCUGAGGGAAGUGACAUCAUUAUGGAGGGAACACACCAUCACAAACAUCAUCAAUCGCAGUAGAUCAUCAUAAACACGCUGACAGCCGACUCGUCCAUCUCAUCUGCUUGAUUUUCAGUGAUCCUGAGACAUACUAAAGUCACAGCCAAAUCAACACGUCUGAUGGCUCAA